Molecule: long non-coding RNA, 1955 nt
Organism: Acanthopagrus latus (yellowfin seabream)
Lineage: Eukaryota; Metazoa; Chordata; Actinopteri; Spariformes; Sparidae
Exons: 5
Source: RefSeq, a predicted model, not a curated record
AUGGAAAACAAUCACUGAUCAACUGGACCAGCUGUUCGUUCUGGGUCCAAAAAAAAAAUCUGAAUUUAUAGAAGUAGCAAGACGUUUGUUGCAGCUGUGCAGUAAACUGCUCAUGGUGGUUCUGUGCGGUAUGGGUCAGAUCAAAACACUGAGAUUCUGUCUGCAUGUUGGAUCAUCACCAUGCCGAAUUAUAAAACAGGUCGCUGUGAUUCUUAGAAUGUGUUCAGUUAUGUUGGUGCUGGUCCACACGCUUGUCUAUGAGGAAGGAAACUUUAAUUUGCUCGAUUUUUAAAUGAGGUUUGGUACAGCACUGAAGCAUGGAGCAGAGAAUUGCACAUUUCUGUGAUAAUUCUUACAUUUUAACAAUCCCUCCACACAUGUAUUAACAUCUCCACUAUGUUUGCCAUGUUUUACACAUCAACAAAGUGUAAGGAAAGUCUACUGUGAUUUAAUCUAACCUCAUAUUGAAGUCCACACUGGUUUUUGGUAAAUGUCCAAAACCUGACAGCUGAGAUCAGGUUCAGUUAGCUGGUGACACGUUUUUUCUGUAUAAUCUCAGGUAUGCGAGUGCUUUGUCAUCAACAGUAAGAUAUGUUAUUCAGCUGACACACCUCAUCUUACAUAAAGUCUCUCACAGACGUUGCACUCAGGUGACAUCAGCCAGCGAGGCUAAGGGAGAAGCUAAUUUAGCCUCCAUGCUACACAGGCCAGCUGAUUCAAGCAGGUGCAGCUGCCUGAGCUUAAUCAGAAUAAUGUAAUAAAUAUGUUGAGAAGAUCUGCCUCCAUCACAUGUCUCCUCGCUGCUUCCCGUCCAGAUGUGUGCAGAUGUUCAGGAGGACUCACAAUAACAAACCUCCCUCCUCUCUAAUCUGCAUAGCAACAGCCCGCGCGGCUCUCCUCCUCCUCUCUCCUCGUGCAGCACCGGGAUCGGCACUGGGAGCCAAUCCCGUCGGCCGUUCCGCGUGACGUCUUGUUUGUUGACACUUCCAUUAGCUCGCCACCUGUGUGACGUCACUGCAGCAGGUCCAGGGCGGGGGGGCGGGGACGAACCAGAGCAGAGGAGGAGACAAAGAUCGUCCGAGCAGCGAGAGUCAGCCGCUCCGUGGACACGUCGGAAGGAAACUCUGCCUGGAAACACCGCGAGCUAAUCGGAACCGGCGGCCGACAGAGACGGACGAGUCUGCUGGAUACGAGGGGGUCGACUAGGUGUGACUGACGAUGGGAGGAGAGCAGAGCCACGAGACGAAGGAGAGAGAAGAAGAGAAACAGGAAGUGUCUGCCGGUCCGGACGGCUCAGGACCGGCUGCUUCUGGAGGUUCUGCUUCUGAAGGUUCUGCUUCUGAAGACUCCCCUGGAGAGCUGCCCCAGUGCAUGAUGGGAGACAGGAGGGUGGACAACAUGUGCUUCAUGAUCUCGUGCACCAACUGGUACUGAACCGGUUCUGAUAUAACCAGACUCUGAAGAUGUUGAUGUUAGUGGGAGGAGGUGGAGAAUGUGGACGCUGCAUUCAUGAACCCACUGAAAAUCCAAAACGAGGCUGUCGCUGCUCGCUGCGUGUCGAGAAGAAGAGUCGGGAGCUGCUGAUCGCUGAAUCGCUCGAUGGAUGAAAGCGGAUGUCGUCCUUUUUCUUUUUCUCAUAGAAGGACUAAAGGUUUAGUUUAGUUUAACUUCUGCACUGGAGCUUCCGUCUAUUAAACACUUCGGCCUCGUCUUGGAAAGGACGGGAGUUCCUGCCUGUCCGUGUGCAUUUUGCUUCUCAAACAGGAUUCAAGGCUGAUUUAGGAAGUGAUUAUCAUCAGUAAAUUAAAAUUAGAACAACACUUUGUGAAACUGAAAUGCUUUCUGUAAAAACAAGACAAAGACCGACUGUUCUGAAACAUCUUGGAGGUUUUGUGUUUGUCGUCUGGCUUCUGUUCUCAUGUUGAAGUGAGCGGUCUAAUAAAUAAGAACAAAAA